GUGAGGAAUAUUGCGCAAUGGAGGCAACUCUGACGCAGCCAUGCCGCGUGCAGGAAGAAGGCGCUAUGCGUUGUAAACUGCUUUUAACCGGGAAGUAACCCCAGGACGUGUCCUGGGUUGACGGUACCGGAGGGAUAAGCACCGGCUAACUUCGUGCCAGCAGCCGCGGUAAUACGAAGGGUGCAAGCGUUAUCCGGACUCAUUGGGUUUAAAGGGUGCGUAGGCGGAGCGUUAAGUCAGUGGUGAAAGCCUGCGGCUUAACUGUGGAAUUGCCAUUAAUACUGGAGCGCUUGAGUGCACUUGAGGUGGGCGGAAUGCGGAGUGUAGCGGUGAAAUGCUUAGAUAUUGCACAGAACACCAGUUGCGAAGGCAGCUCACUGAGGCGAUAUUGACGCUGAGGCGCGAAAGCGUGGGGAUCGAACAGGAUUAGAAACCCCAGUAGUCC
This 445-nucleotide ribosomal RNA is filed under the name uncultured bacterium. Its description in RNAcentral is "partial 16S ribosomal RNA". It matches the Rfam family "Bacterial small subunit ribosomal RNA", at positions 354 to 796 of the family's 1533-position model. The record is from RNAcentral.